CACCAGCCCCUCGAGUGGUGGAGAUGAUUAUUUGGCCUAAAGCGUCCGUAGCCGGCCGGGUAAGUUUCCCGUUAAAUCCAGCGUCUCAAGCGUUGGACUGCGGGAAAUACUGCCUGGCUAGAGAGUGGGAGAGGUCAGCGGUAUUCUGGGGGUAGGGGCGAAAUCCUUUGAUCCCCGGAGGACCACCAGUGGCGAAGGCUGCUGACUAGAACACGUCUGACGGUCAGGGACGAAAGCUGGGGUAGCGAACCGGAUUAGAUACCCGGGUAGUCCCAGCCGUAAACGAUGCAUGCUAGGUGUUGGGUUGGCCACGAGCCACCCCAGUGCCGCAGGGAAGCCGUUAAGCAUGCCGCCUGGGAAGUACGAUCGCAAGAUUGAAACUUAAAGGAAUUGGGCGGGGGAGCGACCACCAGGCGUGAAGCCUGCGGUUU
Molecule: ribosomal RNA, 431 nt
Filed under: uncultured archaeon
Lineage: Archaea
Description: bacterial SSU rRNA
Rfam family: Archaeal small subunit ribosomal RNA
Source: RNAcentral